GUGGCCCGCAACUUUUGCCGAACAAGUGACUGCUGCCAUUAUUCGAGGCCUAAAUGUCGCCACAGAGCCCAUGCCAUGCUAGCAGGUUUUUCAGUCACAUGUGGCAUUUUCUUGUGAUGACUAAACAACAAUGUAUAGUUUAUAGCAGACAGCUCCAGAGCAGAGAUUGGCAGUGUUUAUAUCUGACAGGGAUGUUUAACAAGCAAAGGCCAGUUUUUGAUUAAGACUGGGAGUCUUCUUACCAGG
Molecule: long non-coding RNA, 246 nt
Organism: Andrographis paniculata
Lineage: Eukaryota; Viridiplantae; Streptophyta; Magnoliopsida; Lamiales; Acanthaceae
Exons: 3
Source: RefSeq, a predicted model, not a curated record